GGUGAGGUGCCUGAGUUUUAGGGGGUAGAUUGUAAAUCUAUUUACGGGAUUAUUUCUCUCUUACUA
This 66-nucleotide transfer RNA is filed under the name Flavoperla hatakeyamae. Its description in RNAcentral is "tRNA-Tyr". Lineage: Eukaryota; Metazoa; Arthropoda; Insecta; Plecoptera; Perlidae. The record is from RNAcentral.